This is a long non-coding RNA of Rhipicephalus sanguineus (brown dog tick), 1765 nucleotides long. RefSeq lists it as uncharacterized. The record is from RefSeq and is a predicted model, not a curated record. The transcript is spliced from 3 exons. Lineage: Eukaryota; Metazoa; Arthropoda; Arachnida; Ixodida; Ixodidae.
AAAAGGCACAGGAUUCGAGCGGCGAAAGUUUCAACGUAGAAAAGCCCCUUCUUGACAAUCCACUAAGACAUGGAGCAUGGUCAACUUCUACCACAGGUUGGAGAUGCAGAACCAGCAGCAAGUAACGCAUUUCUCGGCUCAAAGAGGUUGGCAUCAAAGAGUUUUUCUGCCAGCAGGGAGACACUCUUGAGGGUAAAUGCCAUCGCGAUGACAGACAUUCUCCUGCCGUCCUGGGCAACGAGCCGUUCAUUUGCAAACCGCAGCUCCAUCAGUUCUUGGCCAGCAGCCUCCAUGACCUCUCUUUGGUGAGUGAAUGUUGAUGGCCGCAGGGGAGCCUUGAAACCAGCAGCAACAGGAUUGCUGGAGUUCAGCAGGUCAAAUGCACUGCAAGGGAAAUAAUAGUUAUUAAAUCAGAUUACGCACCACCACAUAAAUUCAAAAGGACAUUUUUAGAUGUGCAUGCAAACUUUCAAAAAAGAUUGAAAGAUCCUGCAGUCUGUGCAGUUACAAUAUUUGAGACUGUUCUUGUAAAGUUCAGCAUUCUUUGAACUUUCAGCUUCACUUCACAUUUCCUCAAAUUUUUUCAAAAAAGGUUUGAAAACCUGCACUUGAUAAGACGCUCCAAUGCCCACAAUCAGCCUAAGGAAAGUUAUCAAAGUACUUGAGAUGUUCACAAUUGUAGUGAAUGAUGCUUGUUAUUAUGUUGUACUGAAAUGCAGCAAGAAGGAUAGCACACGAACGUGAGAAGGAAGAAAUGUUUUUUCUUUUUUCUUGAGUUUCUUCUCAUGCUCUUGCUCAAUGUAUUCAACAUUAUUUACUUGUAAUGUUACUUUCACUUCUGGUAGGUUUCCAAUAUCCAUUGAGGUGAAGCAUUAUUCUCAGUGUUGAAUACAAAUGUGGUUGCAGGGCUCAGUUAUUAUGUGAAUAUUUUAUCCACAUAACCUAGACAAUGCUACUACUAAUCUGUAUGCUUGCAUCUGAAUGACUGUUGCACACCUGACGCACAUUGCUUUCUUUUUUCCAACAUCAUUUAAUGUAACACAGAUACGACUUUGUGGCAUCAUGCCGCUUGUAUACACUCGUAUGCUGCACCCGACAGAGUCCACUUAUGCUUGCCUGUAUGGGAUGUAAUGACCAUGAAUAGCGUCAUUUCAUUCCUGUGAAUGAACGGUUCAUCCAUGAUGUAAAGUGUGUUUUUCUUUCGUGUUCCUUUUCCAAAGAUUUGUAGAAAAUAAUGUUCAAACUUUUAUUAUUAACCUGUCUACCAGCGGUGCAUAGUGUAAUAUCUUGCGAAAUUUUUUUAUUGCUAUUUCACAGCAGAAAUAUAUUUAUUAAACCUGUGCAUCUAACAGUUGUGACCCAUUAAACUUGUAUUCUUGAAGAAUAUAUAUGCUUCACAUUUAUGCUGCUGAGAAAAAAUGGUGACCACAUGUGGUGUUCAUCAACAUUCAUCAGGAUCAUGUGGAACUUUUUAUUGCUGCUGUUACCUUUGAUGCAAUUGAUAACAAAGUAUUGUAUUUAGAUGCAUUGUGCACCUGCUUUAUUUACACUGCUCCACAACAGCUUCUAGUAAUGCUCCUUGUAUAAAAAUAUUUGCUGGGUGUAUUUAUUACACACAAAGAGAACUGAUUGAGACGGAGGAAUGGCCCGCCAUUCUAUGUAGACCUGUGUGCCCUUUCGAAGUAGUCAACAUUCACUUUCUCUCUUAACUUCUCUGUACUACAAUGUUUCAAAUUCCAAUAAAUUUGCGUCUUAUUGUUGAGUA